UUGAACGCUGGCGGCAGGCCUAACACAUGCAAGUCGAGCGGAUGAAGGGAGCUUGCUCCUGGAUUCAGCGGCGGACGGGUGAGUAAUGCCUAGGAAUCUGCCUGGUAGUGGGGGAUAACGUCCGGAAACGGGCGCUAAUACCGCAUACGUCCUGAGGGAGAAAGUGGGGGAUCUUCGGACCUCACGCUAUCAGAUGAGCCUAGGUCGGAUUAGCUAGUUGGUGGGGUAAAGGCCUACCAAGGCGACGAUCCGUAACUGGUCUGAGAGGAUGAUCAGUCACACUGGAACUGAGACACGGUCCAGACUCCUACGGGAGGCAGCAGUGGGGAAUAUCGGACAAUGGGCGAAAGCCUGAUCCAGCCAUGCCGCGUGUGUGAAGAAGGUCUUCGGAUUGUAAAGCACUUUAAGUUGGGAGGAAGGGCAGUAAGUUAAUACCUUGCUGUUUUGACGUUACCAACAGAAUAAGCACCGGCUAACUUCGUG
Molecule: ribosomal RNA, 483 nt
Filed under: uncultured bacterium
Lineage: Bacteria
Description: partial 16S ribosomal RNA
Rfam family: Bacterial small subunit ribosomal RNA
Source: RNAcentral